UAGAAAAGACUGUUUGGAUUAAUCCCACCUCAGGUAAGAGCAAACCUAUCCGUGGGAUUGUCUUCGCUCAAGGACCUGGUUGCACUUGGUGGGUAAUGCGGAAAGAUGGGGAAACCCGAUGUGUGCCACAAGGAGACCUCAUUUUAAGUGAGAACUGUGUGUAAGGUUCCAUUGUAUAUAUAUAUAUGUGUGUGUGUGUGUGUGGAGUUUAAGGAAGGUACUGAUUUAGAAUUAUGUAGAUGGUAAUAGAAUAAGGGGUGGAUUAUGUCCUGGGUUGCAGUAUAUUCUAUCACCAUCCUCAUGUACUGUUGAAACCAGGCCUUAUCUCAUGACUCACCAUCUCAUUGUGAGAUGCUCCUCCCCGAGGGAGGAGCCAAGCAUUCCAUACUGGAUAUAAGCUGAGAAUUCGAACACCACGGCAGCCCUUACCUACGGGACUUCCAGAGGACAGGAGCUACUGCUGGACUUUCAGCUGAAGACCAGACCCCCUUUCUUCCAGAGGAUCACGCUUCAACAAGACCACCUCAUCUGGACGACUACCAUCACCCUAACAGGGUUCCAGGCUGUAUUCUGACUCUGUCAGUGUUUUUGAUAUUAUUGCAUUUAUUUUUUUAUCAUUUUCCUAUUAAAUUAUAAUUCUGACUUGCGAUCUCUCACUGGUUUGAUUUCAAACUAGUACAC
This is a non-coding RNA of Cyanistes caeruleus (blue tit), 681 nucleotides long. Lineage: Eukaryota; Metazoa; Chordata; Aves; Passeriformes; Paridae. The record is from RefSeq and is a predicted model, not a curated record.